GAUCGCGGUUAUGAGCGCAUCGAAGACAAACUGCGCGCGCUAGGCGCACCGGGGGAACUGAAACAUCUAAGUACCCCGAGGAAAAGAAAUCAACCGAGAUUCCCCCAGUAGCGGCGAGCGAACGGGGAGGAGCCCAGAGCCUGAAUCAGCAUGUGUGUUAGUGGAAGCGUCUGG
This 174-nucleotide ribosomal RNA is filed under the name Salmonella enterica subsp. enterica serovar Anatum. RNAcentral describes it as "partial 23S ribosomal RNA". It matches the Rfam family "Bacterial large subunit ribosomal RNA", at positions 140 to 313 of the family's 2925-position model. Lineage: Bacteria; Pseudomonadati; Pseudomonadota; Gammaproteobacteria; Enterobacterales; Enterobacteriaceae. The record is from RNAcentral.